RNAcentral lists this ribosomal RNA (440 nucleotides) under uncultured bacterium. Its description in RNAcentral is "partial 16S ribosomal RNA". It matches the Rfam family "Bacterial small subunit ribosomal RNA", at positions 338 to 795 of the family's 1533-position model. The record is from RNAcentral.
CCUACGGGUGGCAGCAGUGGGGAAUAUUGCACAAUGGGGGAAACCCUGAUGAAGCAACGCCGCGUGGGUGAAGAAGUAUCUCGGUAUGUAAAGCCCUAUCAGCAGGGAAGAGAAUUACGGUACCUGACUAAGAAUCCACGUCUAAAUACGUGCCAGCAGCCGCGGUAAUACGUAGGGGGCAAGCGUUAUCCGGAUUUACUGGGUGUAAAGGGAGCGUAGAAGGUUGUGCAAGUCUGAAGUGAAAGUCCGCGGCUCAACUGCGGAACGGCUUUGGAAACUGUGUAACUGGAGUGCAGGAGAGGUAAGCGGAAUUCGUGGUGUAGCGGUGAAAUGCGUAGAGAUCAGGAGGAAUACCGGCGGCGAAGGCAGCUUACUAGACAAUAACUGACGUUGAGGCUCGAAAGCGUGGGGAGCAAACAGGAUUAGAUACCCUAGUAGUC